UCGUUAGUUCAGUCGGUAGAGCAGUUGAUUUUUAAUUAAUGGUCGCAGGCUCGAGCCGAGCGAAGCGAGACA
Molecule: transfer RNA, 72 nt
Filed under: Photorhabdus cinerea
Lineage: Bacteria; Pseudomonadati; Pseudomonadota; Gammaproteobacteria; Enterobacterales; Morganellaceae
Description: tRNA-Lys
Source: RNAcentral